UCUGUUGACACUGUUGAUAAAAGGAACUUGGUCAAAUGCGUCCAAGAAGGAAACAAGGGCCGUAAAAGAGAAGGAAGUUAUUACCUGAAUGUUGACAACUGGUAGGCAUAGUUCUGGUUCUGAGUUUCGUUUCAGUUGAGUUUCCAUAAACGCUCUCAUUGACUUGUUAUGAUUAAACUCUUAGUUCUUAAUCUUGUCUUGAGAGUGUGUUGAAUUACCCCGUUAUUACAAUCGAUAAUGAUAUCAGAUACACCUUUAUAUUUUUUCUAGUUUCCUUUGAUCUCAAAAUUCUCAAAUAUACAUUAUUAACUAACUGCUAAAAUGUACUCAUUUCUGUACUUCUGGGAAUGGGUCGAAGAACACCCAGUUCAUAGAAAAAACGAAGAUGAUCUUCAGUAAAGAACAAAUUCCAAAUAUCCACUGUGGAUAAGUAGAAUCAGAGCUGAUACACCGGGUGUGUGCAUGGGAAAGCAAACAUUGCAUUGCAUACGCUCUAGAAUAUUUGAACUUUUCCUGUACCUCAUAUUUCAGAUCCAUUUUGUCUUCUGGGAAGAGAGGAAGAAAAUACAUUUACGAGAAGGCAGUUUUUGUGAAGGUGUAGCACUCAAGAGGGCACUCCAUGCAAUUACUGCUAUCUUUGGAAAUGAUAUAUGCCUAUUUUUUGAAAACAAAAAUGUGAAUUUGGACAGAAGUCUUUGUUGAAGGCAAUGGAAAUCAGUGACUUUGAUCUUAUGUGUAUCAAAUAGAAAAAAAUAAGAAUUUGAUCCCAACUAUUGCACACUACCUUCAGAUUAUGCAGGAUGUCGUUUUUAGACGCUAGAUAUAUUAUCACGAGGACGAUUUCCUCUCCGAGUCAGUUUCACCCUGUCCACGUUUAAACUAAACUCAGAACUAUAUAUUGAAUAUUAGAAUAUUGGACAUAUAUUGAACGGGAUAUUGUUUCGAUUCCAAUCGAAUGCUUUUUCAUUCUAUUGCACGUUAUAGAUUGUAGGAAGGUUUUAUGAAUUUUAGGGGAAAAAAAACCUUAAGGCUCUUGUACGGAACAUGAAAUAA
Long non-coding RNA from Leptinotarsa decemlineata (Colorado potato beetle), 1053 nucleotides. Lineage: Eukaryota; Metazoa; Arthropoda; Insecta; Coleoptera; Chrysomelidae. The record is from RefSeq and is a predicted model, not a curated record.